AGCCAGCCAGCCAAAGCCGACCGUGCUGCUCGAGACGCCUCGGGCUCACCUAUCGGCGACCACGGCAGUCACUUACAGCGGGCCCACCCCAGCGGCGCCCAAUCGUUUCCCGCCCUCACCGCAACCUAAGUUACCGGCCGCCGGGACCACUGCACAGCGUCCUUGCUGUCGGGUUCCUCCUCCUCCUCCCCCUCGUCCGGGUCGGCCCCCGUCGCCGCCGCGGCCAGCGCCUCGUCUCCCCACGAUGCGGCUCUUCUCCCGGACUUGAACCUCCGCAUUCCCGCAAUGCCGCCCGGCUGCUGCUGCUGCUGCCGCCGCCGCCCGGCAUCGUCCUCCAGCGCCACCUUCUUCCUGGACGCGCCGCCGGGCACACGGGCGCAGCCGUCGCACCGGAACAUGGCGGCCACGCCGUACCACCACCCGCGCCGGCGCCGUCCGUGCCGCUCCCGGUCGGACAGGACCUUGCCAAUGCAGGACACCUUGGGCGACCGCGGCUCCACCUCGCCGCCGCCGCCGCCGCCGCCGCCCGCGCGCUUGCCGUGCAAGAUCCGGCCCUGCGACGGGCGGCGCCGGGUGAAGGUCGGGCGGAUCCUCGCCGGGAGGCCGAAGAACGUGGUGCCGGCCGCGGGGGGCGGCGGGGCGCCCGCGACGCGCGUGGAGUUGGACCGCGUCUUGGCCGCGACGGGGUUGGCCACGGCGGCGGCGGCCGCGAACUUGGGGUUGGUGCUGCCCUUGGUGGAGUCGUCCCGCUCGUAUAUCGGGUUCAGCUCCGAGAACGCCGCGUCGUCGCCGAUGGGGAUGGUUAUCGACUCGGGCGGCAAGUCCGGGUCCGGCGGCGGCGAGGCGUCCCCGCUGCCCCCCGCGAUGACCGUCUCGCACGACACCUUCCUGUCACCAGCGCCGGCGCCGGCGCCCGACACGCCGCACACCAGGCUCUCCAGGUCCACCUGGGGCAUCGCGCGCGCAGCUCGCUUCCUUGCAGAGGGGGGAGUGCAAGACUGA
This 1002-nucleotide unclassified non-coding RNA is filed under the name Zea mays. Its description in RNAcentral is "misc RNA Zm00001eb147100". Lineage: Eukaryota; Viridiplantae; Streptophyta; Magnoliopsida; Poales; Poaceae. The record is from RNAcentral.